RNAcentral lists this ribosomal RNA (433 nucleotides) under uncultured bacterium. RNAcentral describes it as "partial 16S ribosomal RNA". It matches the Rfam family "Bacterial small subunit ribosomal RNA", at positions 29 to 507 of the family's 1533-position model. The record is from RNAcentral.
AACGAACGCUGGCGGCAUGCCUAACACAUGCAAGUCGAACGAAGGCUUCGGCCUUAGUGGCGCACGGGUGCGUAACGCGUGGGAAUCUGCCCUUUGGUUCGGAAUAACAGCUGGAAACGGCUGCUAAUACCGGAUGAUGACGAAAGUCCAAAGAUUUAUCGCCAGAGGAUGAGCCCGCGUUGGAUUAGGUAGUUGGUGGGGUAAAGGCCUACCAAGCCGACGAUCCAUAGCUGGUCUGAGAGGAUGAUCAGCCACACUGGGACUGAGACACGGCCCAGACUCCUACGGGAGGCAGCAGUGGGGAAUAGUGGACAGUGGGCGCAAGCCUGAUCCAGCAAUGCCGCGUGAGUGAUGAAGGCCCUAGGGUUGUAAAGCUCUUUUACCCGGGAAGAUAAUGACUGUACCGGGAGAAUAAGCCCCGGCUAACUCCGUG